This 406-nucleotide ribosomal RNA is filed under the name uncultured bacterium. RNAcentral describes it as "partial 16S ribosomal RNA". It matches the Rfam family "Bacterial small subunit ribosomal RNA", at positions 360 to 774 of the family's 1533-position model. The record is from RNAcentral.
AAUAUUGCGCAAUGGAGGGAACUCUGACGCAGCGACGCCGCGUGAGCGAUGAAGGUCUUCGGAUCGUAAAGCUCUGUCCUUGGGGAAGAAGGUCUUCGGACUUGACGGUACCUAAGGAGGAAGCCCCGGCUAACUACGUGCCAGCAGCCGCGGUAAUACGUAGGGGGCGAACGUUGUCCGGAAUUAUUGGGCGUAAAGGGUACGCAGGCGGCCAUGUAAGUCAGAUGUGAAAGAUCAAGGCUCAACCUUGGUUAGCAUUUGAAACUGUGUGGCUUGAGUUAAGGAGAGGAAAGUGGAAUCCCUAGUGUAGCGGUGAAAUGCGUAGAUAUUAGGGGGAAUACCAGUGGCGAAGGCGACUUUCUGGACUUAUACUGACGCUGAGGUACGAAAGCGUGGGGAGCAAACA